CUCUCCCUCUCUUCUCCUCUCUUCUCUCUCUCUCUCUCCUCUCCCUCUCCUCUCUCCUCUCCCUCUCUUCUCUUCUCUUCUCUCUCUCUCUCUCUCUCUCUCUUUCUCUCUCUCUCCCUCCCUCUGCCAUUUCACUUUCUGUCUCUCGUUUCUCUUUCCGACUUUGCCUCUGUCCUUAGUGCGUUCCUCUCUCUCUCUCUCUCUCUCUCUCUCUCUCUCCAUUGUUCCCUUUCUUCUCUCCUCCCUCCAUCUUGGCACCAGACAGCUGCUGCGACCCAGAAGCAGUGAUGCUGAUGCCGUUGCCAUGGGGACGACCCCAUUGAGGGGGUCAUCAUCAACUGCUGCGGCUUGACUGGAGGAUAACAACAAAACGACAAUUUUUUAAUUUUUCCUUUUUCUCUCUCAAUAUGCUGUAGCAUAGAGAAGAAUUGAGACGCUGCAAAGGACUCUGGGAUAGCACAUGGGUCCUAGGAGAACUGAGGUGUCUGAGUCGCUUAUCUUGGAUAAGGAAGACGAAGAUGAUAAUGAUGAUGAUGAUGAUGAUGAUGAUGGUUAUGAACUCUCUUCAGCACACCAAACUUUCGAGGGCGAUCGCUAACGCUAAAGACUCACGCUCAUGACUCACGCUAAUGACUCACGCUAAAGACUCACGCUAAAGCCUUCCUCCUUUUCUUUUGCCUGGAACUCACAGAAGCUAUAUUUUUCAUCAGCAAUUGAUUAGCUGAGCAGUGAUUACUUGCUUUGCUUGUUUUAUUGAUUUAUUUGAUUGAUUUGUUUGAUUGAUUGAUUGAUUGAUGAGGAGUUUGUAAAACAUGGCCACUACACUCCACAGUCAGCCGUCCCUUGGGUGUGUGUGUGUGUCUGGGUGUGGGUGUGUGUGUCUGUGUGUGUGUGUCUGUGUAUAUAGGUUGGGAGUGUAUAGGAGGCUAGAACCUUUAUAAUCCAGGAUGAGUUCCUCCUGCGUCAAUUUGCUGUGUAUGUGUGUGCGGCAGCAAAGCUUAUAUCUGUGUCAACCCAGAGAUCUCCAGGUCUACGCUCCUGUUCUAGGUUCCAUAUGGUUCUGAACCAGCCAUCUUGUUCUCCUGUUCUAAGUUCCAUAUGGUUCUGAACCAUGCUGUGCUCUUGUUCUGGGUUCCAUAUGGUUCCGGAUCCCGUAAAAGGUUCCGGGUGAGAUCAGUUGUCUGGUGGCAGCUGCGCUGUGUCCGAUAGGCCAUCCCAGGCUGCGGGGUCUUAACUGUGAGUCGGUCACAGCUGUGCUGAGAACCUGGACAAGAUUAGAUUUGCCCACUGACCACAUUAAUGGGCUGUUGCUCAGCGACCAGACUGGUCACUGUGGUGAUGAGAACAGAAUUCUGGUUGUCUUGGUGUCCACAUCAAACAUUCUUUUGAUGGAGCCUCUUGUUCCUGUUGAACUGAUCAAUCACACUUUCAGGACACACACACACACACACACACACACUCCUUUUGUUUAAUCUCACUUGCUUUGUACUCAACUUUAGUUGAACUAUACACUCCCUCCACCUCACACACACGCACACACACACACACACACACACAACCACUUUUAUAUCUGCAACUGAGGCAGAUGUUUUUGUUUGCUUUUGUUUUAGUGUAUUUUUCUUCACCUGUGUUGUUCUAAUGAUGAGCCAGGAAUAACAUGAUUAUGGGUGUUAGGCCACAGGAGAUUUAAUCAACACACACACGGUUAGAUUUAUGAUUUUGUUUUUUUCACACACACUUAAUCAACACACUCCCUCCCACUCCCUUCUAAUGAGUGAUGUGCUGAUUAGAGCCUACCUAGCCCUCCUGUUACUGAACGAAGGGGAUUGGUUGAGCUACCAUCCAAUGGGAGCCUGGCUCUCACCUGCUCCCUAGCGCACUACAGUCUUAGGCCCGGCACAGAGACACAAGCCCAGCCUGAGACAUAGACACACGCCCAGAUGCACUCUGGGAAACAAAGGUUAAAGCCAGCCUGAGACAUAGACACACGCCCAGAUGCACUCUGGGAAACGAAGGUUGAAGCCAGCUCGUAGAUUUGAUGUGAGAUCCUGGUCACGUUAUCGUGUGUAUGACUGGGCUACUAAUCAGUGGAACUCUGGACCGGUGACCCUUGACCCCAGGAGAGCUGGAGGGCAUCUCAGCGUGACCUUACAGCUUGGUGCCACUCGACCCGACAGCAGCGCUGGGAUGUGGUCAGGCCCGGACUUGGCCCAGAGUUAGAUGAUCAUCGUUUAUGGUCGAUCAUCUGGGUUUAGUUAGAUGUUCCCUUGAUCAGUGGAGCUCUGGACUCCGUGACCUUUGACCCCUUGAGACCUGCUGCGGCGGAGUGUUUCCGUCUCCUUAAACGCCGUUGUGCUUUUAUCAAGAGCCCAGUGCCAUUAGAUGCUUUAGUAAACAUAUCUACUGAGUCUCCAGGUUAAGAACCUCGCCCAGGUGCCUGCCGAUUCUGGCCUGAAAUACAGCUGGUUCCGGCCCAUAGCCCGGGCCCAAACCCUAUUUCCCAGGCUGCAGAGCCAACUUUUCCCUGAGCCCAACCAAUCAUGCUUUUCCCAUUAUUUAUGCUGCAGAGUGCCCCACUCUGUGUGUGUGUGUGUGUGUGUGUGUGUGUGUGGAUUUGGAAGCAUCGUCUGACAAUAUCUCCAGUGAUUGAUCCUUCCCUAGAUCCGGGAAGGGAAGGGCUUCUGCAGUCCAGUUUGGCUUGCAGUAGGUCCCACCAGUGUGGAGGUUCUUUCUAGUCGAUUAAAAGAAAAGGAGCCUUUGUGUUGGGUCUAAGAUUUGGAGACUUCUCUGUCUCCAUUAGAUCCAUAUCAGCAUUUCACUCUUUGUGCAGUAGGGGGCAUCAGUGUGCCCUUGCAUAACACACACACACACACACGCAAAACAGCAUUUUCAAAAAUCAGCGUUUAUUGUAUACAACGUUAAAGUGUGCAGUCUCGUGUUAGAGCCAUCUUCAGAAUCGUCCAUCUGGACAGCUGUGAGGACCAUGACGUGAGCGUACCUGUAGGGCCCAGCCUUCAGGGUCCGAUUAGCGAAGCCCAGUAGCUGCUAACUGACCCGUGUGUGUGUUAUGAUCAGUUGUGUUAAAGGGUUCAAAGUGCUGUGGUGUUGUGUGUGUGUGUGUGUGUGUCAUGUUGCUGUUUCUUCAUAGCUUCUGUUCCACUAAAAGUGCCUGUUUUGUGUGCCAGGUAGUCUGAUUGAUUGUUUACUUUUUUGUUUGUUUUGUUUGUUCCUGUUUUUGUUUUCAUGGUGUCUGGUUGUGGCCAUCAGGGUUGGUGAGGUUCAUCAUGCUGUCUCCUGUAUGAGUCAGCAUUCUUAAAGGCAAAAUGCGUCAGGUGAUGUGCGUUUUCUCUGUGAAGAGAGAGCUUUUUGAAAACGAGUUGAGGACCUUUCUGUGUAGAGGGGAACCCUGUCAGGCUACUGCUGAUUGGUUCGCUGUCUCCGCAGCCCAGCGCUGAUUGGUUCUGGACAGGGUGGAAGUGUUGAUGGUUUACACCUUUGGGGAUCAGGUGUGAAAAUGGAACCACAUCCUUCACAGAGACAGGCGGAAAUGAAAUACUUAUGGAAUCAAUAAAUUUUUCUAUGUAUCAAA
Molecule: long non-coding RNA, 3589 nt
Organism: Alosa sapidissima (American shad)
Lineage: Eukaryota; Metazoa; Chordata; Actinopteri; Clupeiformes; Clupeidae
Exons: 2
Source: RefSeq, a predicted model, not a curated record